Mycena epipterygia is the source of this 95-nucleotide non-coding RNA. Lineage: Eukaryota; Fungi; Basidiomycota; Agaricomycetes; Agaricales; Mycenaceae. The record is from the annotation of a GenBank genome assembly.
GCAUCAGUGGUGUAGCGGUAACAUUGGGUCUUCCCACGAAUCUGCUGUCGUAAGCACAACUGGCCUAGCUCCGGGUUCGACUCCCGGCUGAUGCA